GAUGAACGCUGGCGGCGUGCCUAAUACAUGCAAGUCGAGCGAACAGACGAGGAGCUUGCUCCUCUGACGUUAGCGGCGGACGGGUGAGUAACACGUGGAUAACCUACCUAUAAGACUGGGAUAACUUCGGGAAACCGGAGCUAAUACCGGAUAAUAUAUUGAACCGCAUGGUUCAAUAGUGAAAGACGGUUUUGCUGUCACUUAUAGAUGGAUCCGCGCCGCAUUAGCUAGUUGGUAAGGUAACGGCUUACCAAGGCAACGAUGCGUAGCCGACCUGAGAGGGUGAUCGGCCACACUGGAACUGAGACACGGUCCAGACUCCUACGGGAGGCAGCAGUAGGGAAUCUUCCGCAAUGGGCGAAAGCCUGACGGAGCAACGCCGCGUGAGUGAUGAAGGUCUUCGGAUCGUAAAACUCUGUUAUUAGGGAAGAACAAGUGUGUAAGUAACGAUGCACGUCUUGACGGUACCUAAGCAGAAAGCCACGGCUAACUACGU
Molecule: ribosomal RNA, 496 nt
Filed under: uncultured bacterium
Lineage: Bacteria
Description: partial 16S ribosomal RNA
Rfam family: Bacterial small subunit ribosomal RNA
Source: RNAcentral